Molecule: ribosomal RNA, 498 nt
Filed under: uncultured bacterium
Lineage: Bacteria
Description: partial 16S ribosomal RNA
Rfam family: Bacterial small subunit ribosomal RNA
Source: RNAcentral
AUUGAACGCUGGCGGCAUGCCUUACACAUGCAAGUCGAACGGGCUUUGGGGCUUGCCCCACAGUUAGUGGCGAACGGGUGAGGAAUAUAUCGGAACGUACCCUUGAGUGGGGGAUAACUAAUCGAAAGGUUAGCUAAUACCGCAUACGAUCUACGGAUGAAAGUGGGGGACCGCAAGGCCUCAUGCUCGUGGAGCGGCCGAUAUCUGAUUAGCUAGUUGGUGGGGGAAAGGCCCACCAAGGCGACGAUCAGUAGCUGGACGGGGAGGACGAUUAGCCACACUGGGACUGAGAGACGGCCCAGACUCCUACGGGAGGCAGCAGUGGGGAAUUGUGGACAAUGGGCGAAAGCCUGAUCCAGCAAUGCCGCGUGAGUGAAGAAGGCCUUCGGGUUGUAAAGCUCUUUUGUCAGGGAAGAAACGGUGGGAUCUAAUAUCCUCUGCUAAUGACGGUACCUGAAGAAUAAGCACCGGCUAACUACGUGCCAGCCGCCGCCGUAA